AGUGAACGCUGGCGGCAGGCCUAACACAUGCAAGUCGAACGGUAACAGGAAGAAGCUUGCUUCUUUGCUGACGAGUGGCGGACGGGUGAGUAAUGUCUGGGAAACUGCCUGAUGGAGGGGGGUAACUACUGGAAACGGUAGCUAAUACCGCAUAACGUCGCAAGACCAAAGAGGGGGACCUUCUGGCCUCUUGCCAUCGGAUGUGCCCAGAUGGGAUUAGCUAGUAGGUGGGGUAACGGCUCACCUAGGCGACGAUCCCUAGCUGGUCUGAGAGGAUGACCAGCCACACUGGAACUGAGACACGGUCCAGACUCCUACGGGAGGCAGCAGUGGGGAAUAUUGCACAAUGGGCGCAAGCCUGAUGCAGCCAUGCCGCGUGUAUGAAGAAGGCCUUCGGGUUGUAAAGUACUUUCAGCGGGGAGGAAGGGAGUCAAGUUAAUACCUUUGCUCAUUGACGUUACCCGAAGAAGAAGCACCGGCUAACUCCGUG
This 490-nucleotide ribosomal RNA is filed under the name uncultured bacterium. RNAcentral's name for it is "partial 16S ribosomal RNA". It matches the Rfam family "Bacterial small subunit ribosomal RNA", at positions 29 to 507 of the family's 1533-position model. The record is from RNAcentral.